UGCUGGGAGAAAUUGUUGCUGGGUUACAGGGUUAAAUAGUCUUUCAAGACUGAAGUCAGCAGGACUGUGAGUUAGUAUCAGCCAGACGUGUUGCUGGGUUACAGGGUUAAAUAGUCUUUCAAGACUGAAGUCAGCAGGACUGUGAGUUAGUAUCAGCCAGACGUGUUGCUGGGUUACAGGGUUAAAUAGUCUUUCAAGACUGAAGUCAGCAGGACUGUGAGUUAGUAUCAGCCAGACGUGUUGCUGGGUUACAGGGUUAAAUAGUCUUUCAACCAGUUUGGAAAAGAGAAAACAGAACGUUCUGCUCCAUUGUUACACUCCCAUUGUGAAGUAGAAGGGUUCCAUUAUACUGUAUUAGAACACAACUGUACUUUAGAACCAGAAGAGACUCCACUAUCAACAUGAGAAAUGAUGGUCAACUGUAUAGACACACAUAGGUUGGGAUUCAAUCCAAUACUGUAUAGACACAUAGGCUGGGAUUCAAUCCAAUACUGUACAGACACAUAGGCUGGGAUUCAAUCCAAUACUGUAUAGACACAUAGGUUGGGAUACAAUCCAAUACUGUAUAGACAGACAGACAGGCUGGGAUUCAAUCCAAUACUGUAUAGACAGACACACAGACUGGGAUUCAAUCCAAUACUGUACAGACAGACACAUAGGCUGGGAUUCAAUCCAAUACUGUAUAGACACACACAGGCUGGGAUUCAAACCAAUACUGUACAGACAGACACAUAGGCUGGGAUUCAAUCCAAUACUGUACAGACAGACACAUAGGCUGGGAUUCAAUCCAAUACUGUAUACACACACACAGGCUGGGAUUCAAUCCAAUACUGUAUAGACAGACACACAGACUGGGAUUCAAUCCAAUACUGUACAGACAGACACAUAGGCUGGGAUUCAAUCCAAUACUGUAUAGACACACACAGGCUGGGAUUCAAACCAAUACUGUAUAGACAGACACACAGGCUGGGAUUCAAUCCAAUACUGUACAGACAGACACAUAGGCUGGGAUUCAAUCCAAUACUGUAUAGACACACACAGGCUGGGAUUUAAUCCAAUACUGUAUCGACACACAGACUGGGAUUCAAUCCAACACUGUACAGACACACACAGGCUGAGAUUCAAUCCAAUACUGUAUACACACACACAGGCUGGGAUUCAAUCCAAUACUGUAUACACACACACAGGCUGAUUUUCAAUCCAAUACUGUAUACACAGUAUAUACAGCAAGGCACUCAACCUCAAUUGCUCCAGGGAUGUCAUUGAUCAUGUCUGACCCUGUCUAAAGACCCCAGCUCUCUGUGGGUGUUGAUAAUGUCUGACCCUGUCUAAAGACCCCAGCUCUCUGUGGGUGUUGAUAAUGUCUGACCCUGUCUAAAGACCCCAGCUCUCUGUGGGUGUUGAUAAUGUCUGACCCUGUCUAAAGACGCCAGCUCUCUGUGGGUGUUGAUAAUGUCUGACCCUGUCUAAAGACCCCAGCUCUCUGUGGGUGUUGAUAAUGUCUGACCCUGUCUAAAGACCCCAGCUCUCUGUGGGUGUUGAUAAUGUCUGACCCUGUCUAAAGACCCCAGCUCUCUGUGGGUGUUGAUAAUGUCUGACCCUGUCUAAAGACCCCAGCUCUCUGUGGGUGUUGAUAAUGUCUGACCCUGUCUAAAGACCCCAGCUCUCUGCGGGUGUUGAUAAUGUCUGACCCUGUCUAAAGACCCCAGCUCUCUGUGGGUGUUGAUAAUGUCUGACCCUGUCUAAAGACUCCAGCUCUCUGUGGGUGUUGAUAAUGUCUGACCCUGUCUAAAGACCCCAGCUCUCUGUGGGUGUUGGUAAUGUCUGACCCUGUCUAAAGACUCCAGCUCUCUGUGGGUGUUGAUAAUGUCUGACCCUGUCUAAAGACUCCAGCUCUCUGCGGGUGUUGAUAAUGUCUGACCCUGUCUAAAGACUCCAGCUCUCUGUGGGUGUUGAUAAUGUCUGACCCUCUCUAAAGACUCCAGCUCUCUGUGGGUGUUGAUAAUGUCUGACCCUGUCUAAAGACCCCAGCUUUCUGUGGGUGUUGAUAAUGUCUGACCCUGUCUAAAGACCCCAGCUCUCUGUGGGUGUUGAUAAUGUCUGACCCUGUCUAAAGACCCCAGCUCUCUGUGGGUGUUGAUAAUGUCUGACCCUGUCUAAAGACCCCAGCUCUCUGUGGGUGUUGAUAAUGUCUGACCCUGUCUAAAGACCCCAGCUCUCUGUGGG
Molecule: long non-coding RNA, 2226 nt
Organism: Oncorhynchus tshawytscha (Chinook salmon)
Lineage: Eukaryota; Metazoa; Chordata; Actinopteri; Salmoniformes; Salmonidae
Source: Ensembl